AACGAACGCUGGCGGCAUGCCUAACACAUGCAAGUCGAACGAGACCUUCGGGUCUAGUGGCGCACGGGUGCGUAACGCGUGGGAACCUGCCCUUAGGUUCGGAAUAACUCCCCGAAAGGGGUGCUAAUACCGGAUAAUGUCUUCGGACCAAAGAUUUAUCGCCUUUGGAUGGGCCCGCGUUGGAUUAGCUAGUUGGUAGGGUAAAAGCCUACCAAGGCGACGAUCCAUAGCUGGUCUGAGAGGAUGAUCAGCCACACUGGGACUGAGACACGGCCCAGACUCCUACGGGAGGCGGCAGUGGGGAAUAUUGAACAAUGGGCGAAAGCCUGAUCCAGCAAGGCCGCGUGAGUGAUGAGGCCUUAGGGUUGUAAAGCUCUUUUACCCGGGAUGAUAAUGACAGUACCGGGAGAAUAAGCUCCGGCUAACUCCGUG
This 432-nucleotide ribosomal RNA is filed under the name uncultured bacterium. RNAcentral describes it as "partial 16S ribosomal RNA". It matches the Rfam family "Bacterial small subunit ribosomal RNA", at positions 29 to 507 of the family's 1533-position model. The record is from RNAcentral.